Molecule: long non-coding RNA, 250 nt
Organism: Fukomys damarensis (Damara mole-rat)
Lineage: Eukaryota; Metazoa; Chordata; Mammalia; Rodentia; Bathyergidae
Exons: 3
Source: RefSeq, a predicted model, not a curated record
GUAAUUGAAAACAUACACGAAGCAUUCGGUGCUGCACGUGGCCCAAAGCCUGCCUGGUAUUUCACACGUCUCGAGUCACCACCAGAGAGGUCUUGACCCUGGACUGGGACUAUGUGCAAAUGUUGGAAAUACUCAUACAUCACUUGAACAGGAAGAUUGGGAAAUAUUCAAGCCAGAACUUCUGAGGGACACCUCCAUGUCCCAAACAGGUCCCAUUCCUUGGGUCUGAAUCACAACCGCAUGAAAUAGC